GACAGAGGUCCCGAGCGUUAGGCGGAAUCACUGGGCUUAAAGCGUGUGUAGGCGGGUGCCUAAGUACCUUGUGAAAUCCCAUGGCUCAACCAUGGAACUGCUUGGUAUACUGGGUGUCUUGAGCCAAUUAGGGGCAAGCGGAACAAACGGUGGAGCGGUGAAAUGCGUAGAUAUCGUUUGGAACGCCAAUGGUGAAAACAGCUUGCUGGGAGUGUGCUGACGCUGAGACACGAAAGCCAGGGGAGCAAACGGG
Molecule: ribosomal RNA, 253 nt
Filed under: uncultured bacterium
Lineage: Bacteria
Description: partial 16S ribosomal RNA
Rfam family: Bacterial small subunit ribosomal RNA
Source: RNAcentral